UACGGAGGAUGCGAGCGUUAUCCGGAUUUAUUGGGUUUAAAGGGUGCGUAGGCGGCUUUUUAAGUCAGCGGUGAAAUUUUGCAGCUUAACUGUAACAGUGCCGUUGAUACUGGGGAGCUAGGAUUUGGUUGCUGUGGGUGGAAUGUGUGGUGUAGCGGUGAAAUGCUCAGAGAUCACACAGAAUAUCGAUUGCGAAGGCAGCUCACAAAGCCAAGAUUGACGCUGAGGCACGAAAGUGUGGGGAUCAAACAGGA
This 254-nucleotide ribosomal RNA is filed under the name uncultured prokaryote. Its description in RNAcentral is "partial 16S ribosomal RNA". It matches the Rfam family "Bacterial small subunit ribosomal RNA", at positions 524 to 777 of the family's 1533-position model. The record is from RNAcentral.